RNAcentral lists this ribosomal RNA (450 nucleotides) under Reishia luteostoma. RNAcentral describes it as "Thais luteostoma partial 16S ribosomal RNA". It matches the Rfam family "Bacterial large subunit ribosomal RNA", at positions 1933 to 2597 of the family's 2925-position model. The record is from RNAcentral. Lineage: Eukaryota; Metazoa; Mollusca; Gastropoda; Neogastropoda; Muricidae.
GCGGUACUCUGACCGUGCAAAGGUAGCAUAAUCAUUUGCCUUAUAAUUGAAGGCUAGUAUGAAUGGUUUGACGAGAAUUAAGCUGUCUCUUUUUAACUAAAUAUAACUUUAUUAAGAGGUGAAGAAGCCUGUAUUUCAUUGAAAGACAAGAAGACCCUAUCGAGCUUUAAAGAAUUUAGUAGAUUUACCAUAUAUUAAUAAAAAAGUAAAGCAACUAAAUAUUUUGGUUGGGGCGACUGAGGAACAAACAAAGCUUCCUUUAUGCUAAUUAAAACUUACAAGUAUUGAUCCAAUUUAUUUGAUUAAAGAAAUUAGUUACCGUAGGGAUAACAGCAUAAUCUCCUUUGAGAGUUCUCAUCGAAAAGGGGGUUUGUGACCUCGAUGUUGGACCAGAAUACCCAGAAGAUGCAGCCGUCUUCAAUGGUUGGUCUGUUCGACCAUUAAAAUUCU